AGGAAGUUUUUUCCUAUAUCUUUACAUGAUGACGUGAGUGCAUUUGGCUCGAGACUAUCAGUAAUUCGUUAGUCGGUGUGGAAAUACUCAAGCUACCUAACUUUUUUGUCUGAUU
This 115-nucleotide small nucleolar RNA is filed under the name Henningerozyma blattae CBS 6284. Lineage: Eukaryota; Fungi; Ascomycota; Saccharomycetes; Saccharomycetales; Saccharomycetaceae. The record is from RNAcentral.